RNAcentral lists this transfer RNA (63 nucleotides) under Chilocorus rubidus. RNAcentral describes it as "tRNA-Ala". The record is from RNAcentral. Lineage: Eukaryota; Metazoa; Arthropoda; Insecta; Coleoptera; Coccinellidae.
AGGAUAAUAGUUAAAUUAACAUUUAAGUUGCAUUUAAAAAAUACUGAAUCCCAGUUUAUCUUA